RNAcentral lists this ribosomal RNA (490 nucleotides) under uncultured bacterium. Its description in RNAcentral is "partial 16S ribosomal RNA". It matches the Rfam family "Bacterial small subunit ribosomal RNA", at positions 30 to 507 of the family's 1533-position model. The record is from RNAcentral.
AUUGAACGCUGGCGGCAGGCCUAACACAUGCAAGUCGAACGGUAACAGGAAGCAGCUUGCUGCUUCGCUGACGAGUGGCGGACGGGUGAGUAAUGUCUGGGAAACUGCCUGAUGGAGGGGGAUAACUACCGGAAACGGUAGCUAAUACCGCAUAACGUCGCAAGACCAAAGAGGGGGACCUUAGGGCCUCUUGCCAUCGGAUGUGCCCAGAUGGGAUUAGCUAGUAGGUGGGGUAACGGCUCACCUAGGCGACGAUCCCUAGCUGGUCUGAGAGGAUGACCAGCCACACUGGAACUGAGACACGGUCCAGACUCCUACGGGAGGCAGCAGUGGGGAAUAUUGCACAAUGGGCGCAAGCCUGAUGCAGCCAUGCCGCGUGUAUGAAGAAGGCCUUCGGGUUGUAAAGUACUUUCAGCGGGGAGGAAGGGAGUAAAGUUAAUACCUUUGCUCAUUGACGUUACCCGCAGAAGAAGCACCGGCUAACUCCGUG